Molecule: long non-coding RNA, 351 nt
Filed under: Vigna radiata
Lineage: Eukaryota; Viridiplantae; Streptophyta; Magnoliopsida; Fabales; Fabaceae
Description: long non-coding RNA (VRAD_LNC014262)
Source: RNAcentral
AGACCUUAACUUUCACGUAAACAAAUCUUGUAAGACUUGAGAGAAGAAUAAAUUUGGUGGUUAUAUGCAAAGAACAGAAAUAAACAUGAAAUGCAAUUGAUUCAAUUGGUUUUAAGAAACUAUGGAUGAAUGGUGUUGUUGGGGUUUACAAUUUCAUCUUAUCCCCUCUCAUAUAUCUACUCUUCUUAUUUAAUUCACUUAUUUAUCUAAUUCUCAUGCAAACUUUCUAAUUUACCCUUAACCCUUGGUGAAAAGAGCCUAUUAUUAAUUACCGACUUGCUAUCCUUAGCCUCCCCUAGUAACCAAUAAUGCAAUGCGAUCGGAAGCAAAUACAAUUGACCGUCUUACCCC